This 481-nucleotide ribosomal RNA is filed under the name Prevotella sp. oral taxon 317. RNAcentral describes it as "bacterial SSU rRNA". It matches the Rfam family "Bacterial small subunit ribosomal RNA", at positions 28 to 499 of the family's 1533-position model. The record is from RNAcentral. Lineage: Bacteria; Pseudomonadati; Bacteroidota; Bacteroidia; Bacteroidales; Prevotellaceae.
GAUGAACGCUAGCUACAGGCUUAACACAUGCAAGUCGCGGGGCAGCAUGGGGGUUGCUUGCAACCCCCGAUGCGACCGGCGCACGGGUGAGUAACGCGUAUCCAACCUGCCCUUCACCACGGGAUAACCCGGCGAAAGUCGGACUAAUACCGUAUGUUGUCCAUUGACGGCAUCCGAUUUGGACGAAAGGCUUGGCGGUGAGGGAUGGGGAUGCGUCCGAUUAGCCAGACGGCGGGGUAACGGCCCACCGUGGCGACGAUCGGUAGGGGUUCUGAGAGGAAGGUCCCCCACACUGGAACUGAGACACGGUCCAGACUCCUACGGGAGGCAGCAGUGAGGAAUAUUGGUCAAUGGGCGGAAGCCUGAACCAGCCAAGUAGCGUGCAGGAUGACGGCCCUAUGGGUUGUAAACUGCUUUUAUGCGGGGAUAAAGGAGCCCACGUGUGGGCUUUUGCAGGUACCGCAUGAAUAAGGACCGGCUA